Molecule: long non-coding RNA, 1764 nt
Organism: Columba livia (rock pigeon)
Lineage: Eukaryota; Metazoa; Chordata; Aves; Columbiformes; Columbidae
Exons: 2
Source: RefSeq, a predicted model, not a curated record
UGCCAAAGAGGACAUGGUUGUGGAAGGAAAAGUUCAGGUCUCGUCGUCAGACCCCUGCUAUUUGCCACUUGGUUUUGGUUGUGCUUGAGACUAGUCCUGGAAGCUCCAUGAAGGCCUUGCUGGGAGACUGUUGUGUGGGCAGAAAGACUUGAGAACUGUUCCAUUUUUUGGACUUAUUAAAAUCCUGGUCAGACUCCCACAGACAUGAAGAGUAUCUGGCAAUUGAUUCCAAAAGCUUAAGCAGGGAAGUAUCACUGCAUACAACUGUAUGUAUCUAGUACCUAUACUGUGAUUCUUUUAUGCCUUUUCUGGUUUUCAUAACUGAAAAACUGAAGAUGCUUAGAUCAAUUCAGUUUCACAGCAUCAUAAAAAGUUUCAUGACAUAUAUUUCCAGGGGUUUCUUCCUUGCUUCCAGGUGAUGAGCUUGAGCCUUAAAAUUGCUUUACCUUGAAGAUAUGAUGUUUCACCAGUUUCUCACUUUGCCAUAGUACUUAGUGACCAGGACUGAGAGAUACCUGAUGCUUUCCUUGUCCAUGUCUCUAGAAGUGAUUCCAUAUUUUUGAUCCUCAUUUUCCCUCCUGCAAAAGAAGAGAAUGAUGUUAAUCAGGAGUUAGACUGAAAGUGUAAAUAGAGGUGCACGUACAGACUUCACCCCUAGCCACUCAUUAGACUUUUCUGUCUCUUCCUUUUUGUGCCUGAUGGAUCUGUUUUUCUGCAGAAUGCUGCCUCCCCAGUGGUCUCUGUGCUUCCUUCGGGCUUUGCAGUAGCUGGCUCUGCUUUUCUUCUCUGUCUCUGCAGCACACAGGCUCCCUGCAUCGCAGUAUUCCAGACUCCUUGACUUUUUCUCUUCUGGCACUGCAUGCUCCACCAGUUCAGAUGGUUUUCCUGUUUAUGCCUCUUUUUCAGUUUACAGAAACUGCUGCUUUAUUGAUUAUCAUGAGCUCUCUGUUUCUACAUACCACUUUGCCUUGGCAGCAGUACUCAGGCCCUGAAGAAUCUCAGGAAGAGGAACGAUCACACUAGAUUAAGCAGUAGAUGGACUAUCAUCAAUUGAAAGCUCCCAGGGCAAUGGCAUUCAUGUUGGCAAGAGCCCUGGGAGAAGUGAAAGGCGUUGGCCAGCAUGACCUAGACAAAGGACUCCUGCAGGCAAUGGGUCAAACAGCAGCAAAUGUCCUAUUUUUGCCAGUCUUCUCCAGCUAACUUGCAGGCUUCCAGGCUGCUCCUUGAAGUGCCUUGCAAAUGCCCAUGGAAGACACUUCCUCUCAAUGGACCAAUAACACAGCAAAUGCUCCCCAGCCUCACUGGUCAGCAGUGGCCAUAGUCUGAGAGCCUCUUGCAUCAGCUGCUGUGGUAAAAACAGGAGCCCUCUAGACAGAAACUUUUUCUUUUAACAGCGUAACUGAACUGGCCUUUAGGUAUUACCAGUGUAUGGACAGGAGACAAAAGCAUAACUGCAGAAAUUCAAUUCCCAUUUCAUGAGUUUUAAAUUCUUUUUUUGAGCAAAACCCCAAGUCAGAUUUAUUUAUUUAUUUAUUUAUUACAUAUACUAAGACACCUACCAGCCUAGACAAACAUGGCUGGUAAAAAUCCAGUCAUGUAUAUGCUUAAAGCAAAUCAGGAAGACACGCCUCUGAUACAGAAUAUGAUGUUCAAGGUGUCAGUAAAACUGCACAGCUCUGUGGCACUUUGGGUGGCUAAAUGUACCACACCCGAGAAGGGUUUGUUUGCAAAACUGAGGUUGAAAAUAAAGGACACUGAACAACA